This 247-nucleotide microRNA precursor is filed under the name Glycine max (soybean). RNAcentral describes it as "miR5770a stem-loop (gma-MIR5770a)". The record is from miRBase by way of RNAcentral. Lineage: Eukaryota; Viridiplantae; Streptophyta; Magnoliopsida; Fabales; Fabaceae.
GGAUAUUUCUUUAGGACUAUGGUUUGGACGAGUCACUACUCAGCAGAGAACAUGCUAAUUGAUUUGUGUGCACCGCAAAAGGGGAAUAAGAUUUUCUACCUAUGGCGAGGUAUAUGUCUGUUGAUUUUGGUUAUGUUCUCAUAACUUUUAUUGUUUUCAGCUUUUAGUCCAAAAUCGUGCAGAGCUUGAUAACACAGAAGAGUUCAGUUGCCACUUGUCCAAUCCAUAGUUUUAAAGGAAUGAACCC